GGGCAGACCUGCCAGAGGGCCUGCUUCACUCUGUUGUUGCUCUGUCAGGCUCCUUCUCCGACCUUUUUGCCUUCUCUCUCACCUGCCGCUCGUGGCGCACUGCCUUCUCCUCAUAUCCAUCGAAAGCUACCUUCUCGACACUACUCCCGCCUCUCCUCCUCCAACCUGAUGUCGCCGUGAUCACGCCUUGUCAUCUGCCCUUUGCCCCCAAACGCCCUUGUCGUGUCACCGAUCUAGCCAGCCAACGCUCGCGCCUUCGCUGUCAAAUUCCACUGGGCAGUUUUUGCUUCACGGGUGCUUCCUAUGGUCAGCUCAUCUUCUCCAGCAACGGAUCAUGUCUCCUUGUUGAUGUGUUCACCGGCCUUAGUGUUUCACCUCCACAACUGCCGGACAACAACCGCAGUAAGCUCUACUACGGUGCCCUCACGGCUCCUCUAGCAUCACCCAACUCACAUCUCCUUGUCAGCACUUCAUCCAGAAGUUUCUUCUGGCGUGUCGGUAGCCUCUUUUGGCGUUCUUCUUGCAAUGAAACGAUCAAGCAGAUCGUGACCUUCAAAGGUCAGCUCUUCGGCACAGACUCUGGUGGCAGGCUCUUUACCUUGCACUUGACACCCCAGAUUCGCAUACAUCAAAUGGCAGGUUUUUGGGGAGAAAGCACGUCCACCGGAAAGCGUCUUGUGAACCUAUGUCUGGUGGCAUGUGGCGAUAUGCUCAUCUUGAUCAGGAGUCGGGGAUCGUUUCCAGCAAGAGGGGAUACCUUUGAGGCACUCCGCCUCGACCAAUCAACUGACAAUGCAAAAUUUGUGAAGGUGGAGGAGCUAGGUAAUUGGGCCAUCUUCAUCAGUACCGACGAGAGAAGCCAGCCGUUGUCUUUGAUGAACCCGGAGAGAUGGGGAGGGAAGAGCAACUGCAUAUACUGCUAUUCACAUGAUUCAGAACAUUGGACCGCAUUCGAGCUGGGCAAGCCUGCCUCUGAUCCUAGCAUCUUUGUUUUCAUAAGCAGCGGCGGUAUGGUGCAACCGAUGUGGGUUGUCCCCAGCAUGUUCUUCUCUCGGUGUCUCUGAUGGUUGAUGAUAUUGAAAUAUUGAUACAUGAUGCAUGACUAUUAUUUGCUUCCCGGAGUAACUUUUGUUGCAAGAGUGCUUGUGGGGAGUUGUAAGAGCAACUUCUGUUGUAAGAGUGCUUGUGGGGAGUUGUAAGAGCGCUUUGAAUCAUCGACAAGUGAAAUACUACUUAUUGUGUUGGCAUCACUCAGGAGAUGUAAUAAUUGGGGUACUUGUUCAGUUGUGAAUUGCUGUUUAUAUGCUUUGCUGCAUGUGCCCUCUUUGUUUAUCUCAAGCACUAAACUGAGUACUGUAACUGUUGAUUGCAGUGAGCUCUAAAUAUCUCUGCUUGCUCAUGAGUUUGCAGGGAUCAGACAGACAACUAACAUGCAUUUUGUAAUGUCUGUUUCUCUAUGUCCUUGCUGGCAGUAACAGAUGUGUUCGUUUCAAUUGCGUAGCUGUGAGCCUGUGAUGCUUCAGAGAAGUUCUUUUCUAGGGAUUCCAGAGAAUUUUUCUAAUCAAUUUUCUAGAUUGGUGUUCUGUAGAAAGGCACAUGUGACCUGGAUGCAUAUUUAUUACCCUUGAUAUUUACAGAUCAGGAGGGAGGUACGCUGUCAAAAAAAGAAGUAAAGAUCAGGAGUGCUUCAUGCUUUCAUAGUAAAGAUGUUGUCAAAUACAAGUACCGGUAAUAAUACAUAUUUUCAAAGUGUAUAAAUAGCGGCGUUUAAAUACAAAUACUAACCAGUCGUAUUUUACUCGAAUACUGAUCGGAAGCUAGUUAUCUCGUAUAUUUUCCACGAGUCCGUUCGAAGAAAACCAAAAGGAGAGAAAGGCUAGAGCAGCCAGCCGCCGGCCGGUAACCCCUGCCCGCGUGAGCCUCGCCCGACGACGGAUUCUCCGGCGACGGAGGUUGCAGGGUGCACUGUGCAGCGGCGGAUCUGGGAGCCGCCGCUGGCGAUUGAUUGAUUGGUGGCUCAGUGCGGGGCGAGCGAUUGGAUUGGGGAUUUGGCGGAGGAGAGAUCCUCCCGGCCGGCCGGCCGGCGUGCGCCGUGGGAGGACCAUCCAAGGCUGCGAUUGGGGGUCGACGGUCGGAGGUCUCGUCUAUGGCGACGAUUCGUCUUCCUUCCUUCCACUCCUGGAAUUCAGUAAGCACAGCCAUCCUCGCCUAGGGGCUAGGGCAGGCUCGGCUCAGGUUCCUCGUGUUCAAUCCUGCUCACCUUCUUCCUGCUCGCUCCCAGGAUCCCUUACUAACCUCUCCCAUCUCAUCAGCCCUGCAACAGUACUUAUUUCAUGUGGCUUAUAUUAUGUUAAAGUUUAGACAUUCGCCCUGCAAAUGCAAAGUGCAGGGGCUGCCCCCCGUCCAUGGUACUGCUGCUAAUAACACUCGCACAUCACUUGUGUUCAUAGUCCAGAGCACAGAGGAGUCUUGUUACUGUCUCAGUGCCCACUUGUUUGGUUUUAUCAAUCUGUCUGCACGGUGCUUGCUGCAGUAGUAUCUUGGUAUUAAUAGUGGCAAGAAAUACUUUCCUUUUGCUGUUGAGAGCAUAGGCUGUCACUCCGUUUUGAUUUUUAUUGAAUAUAAAAAAAAACAAUGCAUGUUAUGACAGUUCCCCCAAAAAACUAUUUUGACCUGCCAACUUGUGAAAUUUUGAUCCAAAAACGUGACGAAUUGUGUCAUCUACUAAAAAGAGCAAAGUUCACAGUCGCAAUUGCAUGAAGUUUUUUUUUGUGGGGACACACUCAUAAAUGGUCGUAUUUCGUAUAUAAGUUUUCAGCGACAAGUAUUUAGGAACGGAGGGAGUACACUACAUCCAUGAUCUUCUUUUUCUUUCUUUUUAAAUUUGUGAGAACUUUGGGGUGCCUCCAAAUAAGAUAAGAGCACACUCUUCAGAUUAUAAAAAUCCACUAUGCAAACAGUUUGCUUUCCAUUGGUGCAUGCAAUCCAAACUUAUAAAUAUGUCGAUGUUUAAUUGUGUGAAUGACAUGUUGCAUGUUCUACUGAAUCACGUGUCUAUGCUUACAACUAAGCAUCUCAGGAACCAUAUGUGCCCUGUCAUGUUUCUCAAUUAGCACUUAGUCUAUUUCCUGUUCUUAGCAUCCAGUUCAUAUUCUUCUAAUGUUUGUCUUUGAAUUCAUAAUUUAUCGCAGGGAACCUGCAACCUGCAAAACCAGGGCCGCUGUGUUUGUUGUCUCCACAAUGUCUCUCGAAGGGCCGGAGGCCGAAAUUUUUAUUAAGGAAGAAAAGCAUAGUACAAGAAGGUACAAAGAGUAGGCAGAUUCCUACAAGGAGCAGAGAUGUAUCUGCACUACACACCGCCACUGAAGCAAAGCUAGCAACCUGGGCAUCACAGGAAAACCACAAGAAAAACAACAGAACAAGCUACAGAAAAAUCAGAUCACCACAAUGCAGCCUGCUGCUUUCCAGGAGCGAAGAUCUUCAAUGAUCAGAUCGACCACCCGCUCGACCGUGGCUGCUUCCUGCUGGAAAAUUCUGGCAUUGCGUUCCUUCCAUAGCCUCCAGUGGACAAGGAUUGUGAAAGUAUCGAAAUCUCUCCGCAGACUUUUGGGGACGCGCUUACGAGCUUCAGUCCACCACUCUUCGGAACUGCAGAAGAUAGAACUGGGGAUGGGGAAGUGGGCACCGGACCACAACCGGAGCUGAUGCCAGACCUGCUGUGUGAAGUGACAAUAUAUGAAGAGAUGAGGACAGCACUCAUUAGCUGAGGAGCAAAGAGGGCAGAUAGGAUUGUGUGGCCACCCUCUUCUUGCUAAAUUAUCCGCAGUGAGGCAUCUCUUGUGAACAACUAACCACAUGAAGAACUUGCAUCUCAUGGGGGCCUUGGAUUUCCAGAUCGGUUUAGCGCAGGCAAAACGCAAGUUGGCAGCGAAGAACAACUUGCAUCUAGAUAUCAAGUUUGGGUAGACCUACCAGAUGAGAUGCUUCAUUCCAUUAUAGCUCAUUCAGGCUCCUUCUCUGUCCUUGCCUUCGCUGCAACCUGUCGCUCUUGGCGUGCUGCCUUUUCCUCGUACCCAUCGAAAUCUACCUUCUCGACACUCUUCCCGCCUGUCCUCCUCCAACCUGAUGUCCCUGUGGGAUCUCCUCGUCAUCAACCCUUUGGCGAUAAACUUCCAUGUCAUG
This 4182-nucleotide long non-coding RNA is filed under the name Brachypodium distachyon (stiff brome). Its description in RNAcentral is "long non-coding RNA (BDIS_LNC000989)". Lineage: Eukaryota; Viridiplantae; Streptophyta; Magnoliopsida; Poales; Poaceae. The record is from RNAcentral.